GUCACAUAAGAGAACCCUCCUGAACUACUGAUGAGUCAAGGGCAGCCUUCAUGCAAGAACAACUCAAUCAGCCAUUCCAGAUGGAGGAAGGAAAAAGACAUGAAGUUAGGAAGCCUUCAGCAGGAAGCAGGAAAAAGGAACUUGUCUCCAUGAGUUAGUGACAGACCAUGGCACUAAACAUGAGAAAAAACAUCUUGCUGAAUGAAGCACAGAGGUUUCAAACUGGUGGAUCCAGAGCAGAAUAGGUAUGGUGCACAGAUUUGUUUCAUCUAUACAAUAAAGUAUGAAUUUGUUGUAAUAUUUUAAAACCAA
Molecule: long non-coding RNA, 312 nt
Filed under: Homo sapiens (human)
Lineage: Eukaryota; Metazoa; Chordata; Mammalia; Primates; Hominidae
Description: novel transcript, antisense to DCAF5
Source: RNAcentral